AGCGAACGCUGGCGGCAGGCCUAACACAUGCAAGUCGAACGAACCUUUCGGGGUUAGUGGCGGACGGGUGAGUAACACGUGGGAACGUGCCUUUAAGUUCGGAAUAACUCAGGGAAACUUGUGCUAAUACCGAAUGUGCCCUUCGGGGGAAAGAUUUAUCGCCUUUAGAGCGGCCCGCGUCUGAUUAGCUAGUUGGUUGAGGUAAUGGCUCACCAAGGCGACGAUCAGUAGCUGGUCUGAGAGGAUGAUCAGCCACAUUGGGACUGAGACACGGCCCAAACUCCUACGGGAAGCAGCAGUGGGGAAUCUUGCGCAAUGGGCGAAAGCCUGACGCAGCCAUGCCGCGUGAAUGAUGAAGGUCUUAGGAUUGUAAAAUUCUUUCACCGGGGACGAUAAUGACGGUACCCGGAGAAGAAGCCCCGGCUAACUUCGUG
This 434-nucleotide ribosomal RNA is filed under the name uncultured bacterium. RNAcentral's name for it is "partial 16S ribosomal RNA". It matches the Rfam family "Bacterial small subunit ribosomal RNA", at positions 29 to 507 of the family's 1533-position model. The record is from RNAcentral.